Molecule: ribosomal RNA, 238 nt
Filed under: uncultured Candidatus Saccharibacteria bacterium
Lineage: Bacteria; Candidatus Saccharimonadota
Description: partial 16S ribosomal RNA
Rfam family: Bacterial small subunit ribosomal RNA
Source: RNAcentral
AAGUGAGUAGUGAAAUCUGGCGGCUCAACCGUACAGGCUAUUAUUCAAACUCACAAACUCGAGAAUGGUAGAGGUAACUGGAAUUUCUAGUGUAGGAGUGAAAUCCGUAGAUAUUAGAAGGAACACCAAUGGCGUAGGCAGGUUACUGGACCAUUUCUGACACUGAGGCACGAAAGCGUGGGGAGCGAACCGGAUUAGAUACCCCGGGGUAGUCCACGCCGUAAACGAUGGGAUACUA